Molecule: ribosomal RNA, 301 nt
Filed under: uncultured bacterium
Lineage: Bacteria
Description: partial 16S ribosomal RNA
Rfam family: Bacterial small subunit ribosomal RNA
Source: RNAcentral
AGCAGCCGCGGGAAUACGUAGGGCGCAAGCGUUGUCCGGAAUUAUUGGGCGUAAAGAGCUCGUAGGCGGUCUGUCGCGUCUGGUGUGAAAUCCCGAGGCUCAACCUCGGGCUUGCAUCGGGUACGGGCAGACUAGAGUGCGGUAGGGGAGACUGGAAUUCCUGGUGUAGCGGUGGAAUGCGCAGAUAUCAGGAGGAACACCGAUGGCGAAGGCAGGUCUCUGGGCCGCAACUGACGCUGAGGAGCGAAAGCAUGGGGAGCGAACAGGAUUAGAUACCCCUGUAGUCCCUGUCUCUUAUACA